RNAcentral lists this ribosomal RNA (693 nucleotides) under Staphylococcus caprae. Its description in RNAcentral is "bacterial SSU rRNA". It matches the Rfam family "Bacterial small subunit ribosomal RNA", at positions 53 to 728 of the family's 1533-position model. Lineage: Bacteria; Bacillati; Bacillota; Bacilli; Caryophanales; Staphylococcaceae. The record is from RNAcentral.
ACAUGCAAGUCGAGCGAACAGACGAGGAGCUUGCUCCUCUGACGUUAGCGGCGGACGGGUGAGUAACACGUGGAUAACCUACCUAUAAGACUGGGAUAACUUCGGGAAACCGGAGCUAAUACCGGAUAACAUGUUGAACCGCAUGGUUCAACAGUGAAAGACGGUCUUGCUGUCACUUAUAGAUGGAUCCGCGCCGCAUUAGCUAGUUGGUAAGGUAACGGCUUACCAAGGCAACGAUGCGUAGCCGACCUGAGAGGGUGAUCGGCCACACUGGAACUGAGACACGGUCCAGACUCCUACGGGAGGCAGCAGUAGGGAAUCUUCCGCAAUGGGCGAAAGCCUGACGGAGCAACGCCGCGUGAGUGAAGAAGGUCUUCGGAUCGUAAAACUCUGUUAUUAGGGAAGAACAAAUGUGUAAGUAACUAUGCACGUCUUGACGGUACCUAAUCAGAAAGCCACGGCUAACUACGUGCCAGCAGCCGCGGUAAUACGUAGGUGGCAAGCGUUAUCCGGAAUUAUUGGGCGUAAAGCGCGCGUAGGCGGUUUUUUAAGUCUGAUGUGAAAGCCCACGGCUCAACCGUGGAGGGUCAUUGGAAACUGGAAAACUUGAGUGCAGAAGAGGAAAGUGGAAUUCCAUGUGUAGCGGUGAAAUGCGCAGAGAUAUGGAGGAACACCAGUGGCGAAGGCGACUUU